RNAcentral lists this ribosomal RNA (1346 nucleotides) under uncultured bacterium. RNAcentral's name for it is "partial 16S ribosomal RNA". It matches the Rfam family "Bacterial small subunit ribosomal RNA", at positions 28 to 1381 of the family's 1533-position model. The record is from RNAcentral.
GACGAACGCUGGCGGCGUGCUUAACACAUGCAAGUCGAACGGAAAGGCCCUGCUUUUGUGGGGUGCUCGAGUGGCGAACGGGUGAGUAACACGUGAGUAACCUGCCCUUGACUUUGGGAUAACUUCAGGAAACUGGGGCUAAUACCGGAUAGGAGCUCCUGCUGCAUGGUGGGGGUUGGAAAGUUUCGGCGGUUGGGGAUGGACUCGCGGCUUAUCAGCUUGUUGGUGGGGUAGUGGCUUACCAAGGCUUUGACGGGUAGCCGGCCUGAGAGGGUGACCGGCCACAUUGGGACUGAGAUACGGCCCAGACUCCUACGGGAGGCAGCAGUGGGGAAUAUUGCACAAUGGGCGGAAGCCUGAUGCAGCAACGCCGCGUGCGGGAUGACGGCCUUCGGGUUGUAAACCGCUUUCGCCUGUGACGAAGCGUGAGUGACGGUAAUGGGUAAAGAAGCACCGGCUAACUACGUGCCAGCAGCCGCGGUGAUACGUAGGGCGCGAGCGUUGUCCGGAUUUAUUGGGCGUAAAGGGCUCGUAGGUGGUUGAUCGCGUCGGAAGUGUAAUCUUGGGGCUUAACCCUGAGCGUGCUUUCGAUACGGGUUGACUUGAGGAAGGUAGGGGAGAAUGGAAUUCCUGGUGGAGCGGUGGAAUGCGCAGAUAUCAGGAGGAACACCAGUGGCGAAGGCGGUUCUCUGGGCCUUUCCUGACGCUGAGGAGCGAAAGCGUGGGGAGCGAACAGGCUUAGAUACCCUGGUAGUCCACGCUGUAAACGGUGGGUACUAGGUGUGGGGUCCAUUCCACGGGUUCCGUGCCGUAGCUAACGCUUUAAGUACCCCGCCUGGGGAGUACGGCCGCAAGGCUAAAACUCAAAGGAAUCGACGGGGCCCCGCACAAGCGGCGGAGCAUGCGGAUUAAUUCGAUGCAACGCGUAGAACCUUACCUGGGUUUGACAUGGAUCGGGAGUGCUCAGAGAUGGGUGUGCCUCUUUUGGGGUCGGUUCACAGGUGGUGCAUGGCUGUCGUCAGCUCGUGUCGUGAGAUGUUGGGUUAAGUCCCGCAACGAGCGCAACCCUUGUUCACUGUUGCCAGCACGUUAUGGUGGGGACUCAGUGGAGACCGCCGGGGUCAACUCGGAGGAAGGUGGGGAUGACGUCAAGUCAUCAUGCCCCUUAUGUCCAGGGCUUCACGCAUGCUACAAUGGCUGGUACAGAGAGUGGCGAGCCUGUGAGGGUGAGCGAAUCUCGGAAAGCCGGUCUCAGUUCGGAUUGGGGUCUGCAACUCGACCUCAUGAAGUCGGAGUCGCUAGUAAUCGCAGAUCAGCAACGCUGCGGUGAAUACGUUCCCGGGGCU